This 497-nucleotide ribosomal RNA is filed under the name uncultured bacterium. RNAcentral describes it as "partial 16S ribosomal RNA". It matches the Rfam family "Bacterial small subunit ribosomal RNA", at positions 28 to 507 of the family's 1533-position model. The record is from RNAcentral.
GAUGAACGCUGGCGGCGUGCCUAAUACAUGCAAGUCGAGCGAACAGACGAGGAGCUUGCUCCUCUGACGUUAGCGGCGGACGGGUGAGUAACACGUGGAUAACCUACCUAUAAGACUGGGAUAACUUCGGGAAACCGGAUCUAAUAGCGGAUAAUCUAUUGAACCGCAUGGUGCAAUAGUGAAAUACGGUUUUUCUGUCACUUAUAGAGAGAUACGCGCCGCAUUAGCUAGUUGGUAAGGUAACGGCUUACCAAGGCGACGAUGCGUAGCCGAACUGAUAGGGGGAUCGGCCACACUGGAACUGAGACACGGUCCAGACGCCUGCGAGAGGCAGCAGUCUGGAAUCUUCCGCAAUGGUCGAAAGCCUUACGGAGCAACGCCGCGUGAGUGAUGAAGGUCUUCGGAUCGUAAAACUCUGUUAUUAGGGAAGAACAAAUGUGUAAGUAACUAUGCACGUCUUGACGGUAACUAAUAAGAAAGCCACGGCUAACUACGUG